GUCCGUGCUCGGAAAGGGAGGUGUCCUACGGGUCGCUGCAGGGGUCCCGGCCUUGAAAAGAAGUGUCCCCGAGCUGCGCCUUGGGCUCCUGGGUAACGAAGCGCCCGCCUGGAUUUAUAGGGGAGAAUGUGAAUGGAAAAUAAAUCUCGGGACCCCCAAAUCACUAAGCCGAGGGAAAAGACAAGCUGAGAACUAUGUCAGGAUUUGGAAGCUCUCCCUCAAGUUGUCUCGCCUUACCGAAGUGAACCAAUAUUCAUCUUACACAUAUUGAUUGAUGUCUCAUGUCUCCCUAAAAUGUAUAAAAGCAAGAUGUACCCCAACCACCUUGGGCACAGGUCGGCAGGACCUCCUGAGGCUAUGUCAGGGUGUGUCCUUAACCUUGGCA
This is a long non-coding RNA of Symphalangus syndactylus (siamang), 385 nucleotides long. RefSeq lists it as uncharacterized. NCBI's taxonomy places the organism in Eukaryota, Metazoa, Chordata, Mammalia, Primates, Hylobatidae. The record is from RefSeq and is a predicted model, not a curated record.